RNAcentral lists this ribosomal RNA (1554 nucleotides) under Salmonella enterica. RNAcentral's name for it is "bacterial SSU rRNA". It matches the Rfam family "Bacterial small subunit ribosomal RNA". The record is from RNAcentral. Lineage: Bacteria; Pseudomonadati; Pseudomonadota; Gammaproteobacteria; Enterobacterales; Enterobacteriaceae.
AAAUUGAAGAGUUUGAUCAUGGCUCAGAUUGAACGCUGGCGGCAGGCCUAACACAUGCAAGUCGAACGGUAACAGGAAGCAGCUUGCUGCUUUGCUGACGAGUGGCGGACGGGUGAGUAAUGUCUGGGAAACUGCCUGAUGGAGGGGGAUAACUACUGGAAACGGUGGCUAAUACCGCAUAACGUCGCAAGACCAAAGAGGGGGACCUUCGGGCCUCUUGCCAUCAGAUGUGCCCAGAUGGGAUUAGCUUGUUGGUGAGGUAACGGCUCACCAAGGCGACGAUCCCUAGCUGGUCUGAGAGGAUGACCAGCCACACUGGAACUGAGACACGGUCCAGACUCCUACGGGAGGCAGCAGUGGGGAAUAUUGCACAAUGGGCGCAAGCCUGAUGCAGCCAUGCCGCGUGUAUGAAGAAGGCCUUCGGGUUGUAAAGUACUUUCAGCGGGGAGGAAGGUGUUGUGGUUAAUAACCACAGCAAUUGACGUUACCCGCAGAAGAAGCACCGGCUAACUCCGUGCCAGCAGCCGCGGUAAUACGGAGGGUGCAAGCGUUAAUCGGAAUUACUGGGCGUAAAGCGCACGCAGGCGGUCUGUCAAGUCGGAUGUGAAAUCCCCGGGCUCAACCUGGGAACUGCAUUCGAAACUGGCAGGCUUGAGUCUUGUAGAGGGGGGUAGAAUUCCAGGUGUAGCGGUGAAAUGCGUAGAGAUCUGGAGGAAUACCGGUGGCGAAGGCGGCCCCCUGGACAAAGACUGACGCUCAGGUGCGAAAGCGUGGGGAGCAAACAGGAUUAGAUACCCUGGUAGUCCACGCCGUAAACGAUGUCUACUUGGAGGUUGUGCCCUUGAGGCGUGGCUUCCGGAGCUAACGCGUUAAGUAGACCGCCUGGGGAGUACGGCCGCAAGGUUAAAACUCAAAUGAAUUGACGGGGGCCCGCACAAGCGGUGGAGCAUGUGGUUUAAUUCGAUGCAACGCGAAGAACCUUACCUGGUCUUGACAUCCACGGAACUUUCCAGAGAUGGAUUGGUGCCUUCGGGAACCGUGAGACAGGUGCUGCAUGGCUGUCGUCAGCUCGUGUUGUGAAAUGUUGGGUUAAGUCCCGCAACGAGCGCAACCCUUAUCCUUUGUUGCCAGCGGUCCGGCCGGGAACUCAAAGGAGACUGCCAGUGAUAAACUGGAGGAAGGUGGGGAUGACGUCAAGUCAUCAUGGCCCUUACGACCAGGGCUACACACGUGCUACAAUGGCGCAUACAAAGAGAAGCGACCUCGCGAGAGCAAGCGGACCUCAUAAAGUGCGUCGUAGUCCGGAUUGGAGUCUGCAACUCGACUCCAUGAAGUCGGAAUCGCUAGUAAUCGUGGAUCAGAAUGCCACGGUGAAUACGUUCCCGGGCCUUGUACACACCGCCCGUCACACCAUGGGAGUGGGUUGCAAAAGAAGUAGGUAGCUUAACCUUCGGGAGGGCGCUUACCACUUUGUGAUUCAUGACUGGGGUGAAGUCGUAACAAGGUAACCGUAGGGGAACCUGCGGUUGGAUCACCUCCUUACCUUAAAGAAGC